This 1054-nucleotide unclassified non-coding RNA is filed under the name Leishmania donovani. Its description in RNAcentral is "gene:LdHU3.35.4370(CDS-product:hypothetical_prote in_conserved)". Lineage: Eukaryota; Euglenozoa; Kinetoplastea; Trypanosomatida; Trypanosomatidae. The record is from RNAcentral.
UGCACUUUGCCAGGAACUUGUACCGUUUUAGCCUUGCUGCUAUCUCACAUUCGAAUCGGCACCGUUCCUGCUAGUUCGAGGACACCCUUGCCCACAUGGCUACCGAAGUGGUGGAGGAGGAGUGGCAGGACGGCGUCGACGACUUCUUCGCCGACUUCUCGUUAGCUGCCUCCAAUGAAAAGUCGACGCGACGCAAGAAUGCCGAGGCCCAUCAAGCCAGCGUUGCUCAGUCGCAGAACAAGGUGGAGCGUAGGGAGGCCGACCGCGGCGAGUCGGCCGAGGAAGCCCGCCGACGCAUCACCGCGGCGGUGAUUAGCCGCGCGACCGCAAAGGAACUCGAAAGGGCGGCGCGGAAUGCCAAGCAGCACCAUAAGAUGUCUCAUAAGAAUUGCGACACCGGCGCUUCGUCUGUCAAGUUGGGACACUCUUCAUCUUCUCUGUCAGAGCAGCAUCACGGCUCAUCGACCGCAGCGUCGUUGUCGCCCUCGUUGAAAGUGCACGACUCGACCGCCCAUCAAGUAGAGGCAGCACCCUCGUACUCGCGUCUUUGCAAGAAAAACCAGAAGAUCGACGCCAAGUUUGCCCGAAAAACGGCACGCAAGGAGGCGGCGAAGGAGCACCGUAUCAAGUAUCGCCGCGUCUUACGCAAACAGCGUCGCUGACCCGAGAGUGGCCACGUGGGUGCGUUCGUUGCAAGCUUGCUGCAAUAACCCAUCCACUUACGGCGUUGCCAUCUGCCUCCCGCUCUCUUGCGAGCUUGAGGAGGCAUUUGAGGCGGCGGGAUCGAGUGGGUCGCUUCCCGGGUCGGUAUCUCCCUCCCUCUCUGAUAUUCACCUUCACAUGUGCUCGCGCAACGGAGCCAACGCCGAGCAAAGACGCAAGGGAGCCCUUUGCUCCACAAGCAGAGCGGUAGAUUACCGCUGUAUUACGCGGGAACAGAGUAUUUUUUUUUUUUUCGAAGCUUCAUCGCAUUUUCGCACGGCGGCAAUGAGUUUUUUUCGGCGCGUGGCGUUCGCUACGUGUCCGCGUUCGUGUGCAUGUGUGGCGUACGCGC